AGAGUUUGAUCCUGGCUCAGAACGAACGCUGGCGGCAGGCCUAACACAUGCAAGUCGAACGAAGUCUUCGGACUGAGUGGCGGACGGGUGAGUAACACGUGGGAACCUAUCCUUUGGUGCGGAAUAACAGAGGGAAACUUCUGCUAAUACCGCAUACGCCCUAAGGGGGAAAGAUUUAUCGCCAAAGGAGGGGCCCGCGUAGGAUUAGCUAGUUGGUGGGGUAAUGGCCUACCAAGGCUGCGAUCCUUAGCUGGUCUGAGAGGAUGAUCAGCCACACUGGGACUGAGACACGGCCCAGACUCCUACGGGAGGCAGCAGUGGGGAAUAUUGGACAAUGGGGGCAACCCUGAUCCAGCCAUGCCGCGUGAAUGAAGAAGGCCCUAGGGUUGUAAAGUUCUUUCACUCGUGAGGAUGAUGACAGUAGCGAGAGAAGAAGCCCCGGCUAACUCCGUGCCAGCAGCCGCGGUAAUACGGAGGGGGCAAGCGUUGUUCGGAUUUACUGGGCGUAAAGGGCGCGUAGGCGGCAUGCCAAGUUGGGGGUGAAAGGCCUGGGCUUAACCUAGGAACUGCCUUCAAAACUGGCAAGCUUGAGACCGGGAGAGGUUAGCGGAAUUCCCAGUGUAGAGGUGAAAUUCGUAGAUAUUGGGAAGAACACCAGUGGCGUAGGCGGCUAACUGGACCGGAUCUGACGCUGAGGCGCG
This 701-nucleotide ribosomal RNA is filed under the name uncultured Alphaproteobacteria bacterium. RNAcentral's name for it is "bacterial SSU rRNA". It matches the Rfam family "Bacterial small subunit ribosomal RNA", at positions 8 to 755 of the family's 1533-position model. Lineage: Bacteria; Pseudomonadati; Pseudomonadota; Alphaproteobacteria. The record is from RNAcentral.